GAUGAACGCUGGCGGCGUGCCUAAUACAUGCAAGUCGAGCGAACAGAUGAGAAGCUUGCUUCUCUGAUGUUAGCGGCGGACGGGUGAGUAACACGUGGGUAACCUACCUAUAAGACUGGGAUAACUCCGGGAAACCGGGGCUAAUACCGGAUAAUAUUUUGAACCGCAUGGUUCAAUAGGGAAAGACGGUUUCGGCUGUCCCUUAUAGAUGGACCCGCGCCGUAUUAGCUAGUUGGUAAGGUAACGGCUUACCAGGGCGACGAUACGUAGCCGACCUGAGAGGGUGAUCGGCCACACUGGAACUGAGACACGGUCCAGACUCCUACGGGAGGCAGCAGUAGGGAAUCUUCCGCAAUGGGCGAAAGCCUGACGGAGCAACGCCGCGUGAGUGAUGAAGGUCUUCGGAUCGUAAAACUCUGUUGUUAGGGAAGAACAAAUUUGUUAGUAACUGAACAAGUCUUGACGGUACCUAACCAGAAAGCCACGGCUAACUACGUGCCAGCAGCCGCCGUAA
RNAcentral lists this ribosomal RNA (514 nucleotides) under uncultured bacterium. Its description in RNAcentral is "partial 16S ribosomal RNA". It matches the Rfam family "Bacterial small subunit ribosomal RNA", at positions 28 to 523 of the family's 1533-position model. The record is from RNAcentral.